RNAcentral lists this long non-coding RNA (558 nucleotides) under Rattus norvegicus (Norway rat). RNAcentral's name for it is "long non-coding RNA NONRATT022968". The record is from RNAcentral. Lineage: Eukaryota; Metazoa; Chordata; Mammalia; Rodentia; Muridae.
AGCAUGGACCCACAAGCUUGCUGCCCUCCAUUGGACAGAAUUUGGGAGCGCACUGGGGAAGAUACAGACCCCCAACCUUUCAUGUACAAGCAUGGUAUGAUGAAGUGAGAGACUUUAGCUACCCAUAUGAACAUGAGUGCGACCCUUACUGUCCUUUCAGAUGCUCUGGCCCUGUUUGUACACACUACACUCAGGUGGUGUGGGCUACAAGUAGCAGAAUAGGCUGUGCCAUCAAUCUGUGCCACAACAUGAACAUCUGGGGGCAGAUAUGGCCCAAGGCUGUCUACUUGGUGUGCAAUUACUCUCCCAAGGGAAAUUGGUGGGGUCAUGCCCCUUACAAACAUGGAAAACCUUGUUCUGCUUGCCCGCCCAGUUUUGGAGGAGGCUGUAGAGAAAACUUGUGCUACAAAGAAGGGUCGGACCAGUAUUAUACCCCUCAAGAAGAAGAAACAAAUGAAAUUGAACGGCAGGAGUCCCAGGUCCAUGACACUCAUGUUCGGACAAGAUCAGAUGAUAGUAAUAGAAAUGACGUCAUCAGCACUCAGCAGAUGUGUAAGA